Long non-coding RNA from Daktulosphaira vitifoliae (grape phylloxera), 556 nucleotides. RefSeq lists it as uncharacterized. The record is from RefSeq and is a predicted model, not a curated record. The transcript has 4 exons. Lineage: Eukaryota; Metazoa; Arthropoda; Insecta; Hemiptera; Phylloxeridae.
UUAUAAUUUCUUCUGAUUUAAGCAUUUAUCAUACUUUUUUUUAAGGGAAACUAUCGAAGCUUCUUAAAUAUUUUUGUCUAGUAAUUAAACAAGAUAAAAAGCUACCAUCAGAAACCAGCAAUUCAAAUAAUAUUUACUACUUGGAAAAUGAAAAUUCUGAUUCAUCAGGUAAAAUUUUAAUAAGAAUGUCUAAAUAAAACAAUUAAAUAGGGAGUCUCAUAAAAUACAAAAAAAAGUUUAUCUUAUGUAAUUUUUAAAAUAAAUUUGUUAGCAUUAGUGUUCACAUCAUUUUAAAGAUUUACUGCUCCUUUGGCAUGUAUAUUAGUCUUUUUCAAAUCCGUCGAGAAGAACAUUAGAAAUUAUAAAGAUUGCGUUAAAACAUGCCAACUAUCUUAAGAGGGUUGGAUUAUAUGUUGUAUAUUUUUUCAUUAUGAAAUAAAAGAUUUUUUUGAAUGUUAACAUGUAUAAUAAAAUAUAUUUAUUUUAAAAUAUUGAGGAAUUUAUGGGUCAGCUAGACAGUAAUUUUAAAUUUCAUUAAAAUAAGAAAUUGAAACAU